CCAGGGAUGUACCUGUCUAAUGCUAACCUGAGAAUACAAGUUAUUUGAAAACCGAGUAUCAACAUUUUUACAAAUGCUGGUGAGUUCAUAAGUAUUUAGUGACUUUUAUUCAAAUAACUUCAUAAGUAUUCGAUUAUUGAAGAAAGCAAACGACAUCAGGGAAAAACAUAUGCCUCAGCAGUGAGGACUGCUGAUGAAGGCAAGGAAUCAUAGACCCCAGGAGAGUAUCGAACGAACGACACGCCUGGUUCAGUCUAACAAAUAGAGACACAGACCCCAGAAGGUACCAAAUGAAAGGUACAACUGGUAAGGUCUAAAACAGUGAAUAACAGACCCCAGACAGUAUCAAAUGAAAGAUACGUCUUGUAAGGUCAAACAGAGAAAACAGACCCAGACAGUAUCAAAUGAAAGAUACGUCUUGUAAGGUCAAAACAGAGAAAACAGACCCCAAACAGUAUCAAAUGAAAGAUACGUCUUGUAAGGUCAAAACAAUGUGACUCUAAAAGUGAAUUACCAGCAUACAGUGUAAAUUGUCGGCGAAAUACCGUUACCUUAAAGCCAUGAAUUAUAAGGUAACUCGGGAUACUGAUAACCAUACUGACUAGAGUUCCAGACGCCCUACAAAGGCCUAUAUAAUGUGACAUUUGUCACCCGUUGGCUUGGUAGGCCGGGACUGUAGCUAGCAGUAAGGGUGCGGGGUUGUCAAUCCCAUAUAGAUCUAUACACACAAUGUCCGCUCUCCCUACAGGAGACUCUGGUUACCAACUAGACGACGGAGAAGGCCGUGUCCUGAAGAUGCAUCCCAAAUAGUGGGUAGAGACUUCCAAAUAGUGGGUAGUGUGUAAGUGCUGAACUAGAUGUAGAGACUUCCAAAUAGUGGCUAGUGUGUUUCUAAUGUAAGUGUGGGCUAGAGCUAGAGACUCUUCACUGAACUGACUAGAGACUUACACUAUGUCCAUACCCAUACACAUAGUAUAUAACUAAUGAACCAAACGACCUUCAAACGGCCAUCCGAUCCCACCAGACCACAUCUCAACGAAGAAAAGGAAAUAGGGCGGACAAGCCUUCCUACAUCUUUCAAUCAUUACUUAUAUGUACCUAUAUAAGCACAGACAUACAUCUAACUACGACUGAGUGUGUAUCAAGUAGAAGUGAUUCUUGUGAAGUAGGAGUGUCUAACAAGUGAAGUANGAAGUAGGAGUGUCUAACAAGUAUAAGCGUAUCACGAAGUAGAGACAAAAAUAAGUGAUGUAAGAACGUAUCGAGUAUAAGUGAAGUAGAGGCGAUAUCAAGUAUAAGUGAAGUAGAAUCGUAUCACUAAGUAAGAGUGUGAAUAAGUACCAGCGUCCAUCGGGUAUAAGGGUAUCACGAAAGAAUGUGUUAUCAAGUAGGAGUUUUAAAUAAGUAAAAGCGAAGCAGCAGUAACAACAAGUAGAAGUAUACAUCGUGAAAGUAACUUUGAUGAAAACCUUGGUAACCUUUAUAUUUUAAGAAAAUCACGACUUGGUAUUACUUUGUGAAUUAAGUUUGAUGUAAAACUUUUAGAAAUUCUUUGGGAACCUUUCAUAAAUCAGUUUGAAAUAAAACUUUGAUAAAACAGUAAAAGUAAGAACUUGAACCAGUGAAAACCUUUUAGAAAACUAUUUAUAGUGUCCUACUCGGUAAAACAGUAUACAGUGUGGUAAAAUCUUGUGCAUGCGGGUUAUCAAUCACAUGUGAUUGAUAUGAUAACUGGCAUGUUUAACUUGUAUUCCUCCCCCCAUAAACCAUGUAAAAACAUUUAAAAGGCUCAUUCAGGGGUAUGAACUCACCUGGUGUAAGUAGGUCCGACGAAGGUGCCGUUUGGGCGUUCGGUGUCACGUAAGGACUCGAACACACUCAAUGACCUAUAUAACAUAUGAUAACAUAUGUUCACUUACAAUUAGUAUAUUUAAUACUAAUUAAACACGUAUACGCACUCAAAGGAGCGGAAAACACUUUAGAUAAGUGUUUGGGUGUCCCGGGUAGUGUCUAAGGGUGUGUAUGACUUAGGAAUGGAGUUUACUCUCCGAGAGUAAACCCUUAACACUUAGUUUACGGCCCAGGGACUACUCACCAUGAGCUUACGGCCGUAAACUCAUGGUGAGGGUAUCUAGUGUGUUUUAAGGCUUCUACUUGUUCAUGGGAUUAUUCUAGGUCCAAUUCCAAAAGGCAUGAGUGGGUUUAGGGUCUUUAAGUGCACUAUAAUGGACUUUACGGCCUAUGGACAACUCCUAAGGGAGUUUACGGCCGUAAACUCUCAUCCCUUGAGUUUUGUGAAGUUUCAAGCCUUUAUAUCACUUCUAGUAAUUUAUUCAAGGCUAUAGGGGUGUUUGGGGGUUCCAAAAGGGGUCUCCUUUAGAGUUUAUGGUCCAAAUGACCAACCUUUGAGAGUUUAUAGCUGUAAGCUCUAUGGCUUGGCCGUGAACUCUCAUACACCCUCCAUUCUUUAAGUUUCAGCCCUUGUUUCAAUCCUAGUAUUUUAUGGUAAAUGUAUAAGGCCAUUUGGGGGACAAAAACCAACAUUUUGGCUUGUGUUGGGGAGUUUACGACCUUGACACAUGUCUAGGCCGUAAACUCCUUUUAAUCCUCCAAUUCUUUAUGUUUAAGUGAUCUAAACCCAAGAGGAUAAGCCCCUAAUUUAUGUGUUAAGCCCUAGGGUGGUUUGGGAGCGUUUUGGAGGUAUUUUGACAUAGUUUAGAGGUGUUUACGGCCUUGGCAUAUGCCUGGGCCGUAAACUCUCUUUUAGGCCUCAAAAUGAUUGUUUUAAAUGUACAAACACUCCUAGGCUAAUUUCUCUAUUUAUUUCCAAGCCAUUAGGGACAAGUUUGGGUCAUUUUGGCCUUGUUUAAGGGGUUUACGGCCUAAGGAGGAGCUUAGGCCGUAAACUCCAUUCUAACAGCUUCUAAGUCCGGAUUUUUAGGUAUAAACACGAAUCAAUAUGUUUAGAAUAAGCUAGGGUAAGCGGACUUACGAUUUGGAAGCGUUUGGUGGCGGAUUUGGGGCGAAAACGGGUCUAGAGAGAGAGUAUAUAGAGAGAGUGUAAAAAGUCUCCAAUGGACUCCACUCACCCUUAUAUAGGGUUUUGAGUCGGGGCUCAUUGGAAUUCUACCCAAUACUGCCGUUAAAUGGGGCUUUUGGUCGCACCCGAUUUAGUGGUCGUAAUAAUAAAAACUAACUUUUUCCAAUUUAAUGGAAAUGUAUGUUAUGUGUUUUUAUUUCCUUUCAUCACGACUUAACGGCCUAUUAAACAUGAACAAUUGUAAUGUUUAUUUAAUUGACGACCUCCAAUUAACGGAACUUUUAUAAACCGGAAUAUUCCGUUAAUGGUAACGGGGAAAUGUAACGGGACAACUUGGGUUGUCACAUCAUCCUCCUGUUAGAGGGAAUUUCGUCCUGAAAUUCAGGUCUAGGAAAGGAAGUAGGUAUGAAUGGCCAAGUAGGGGUAAGAGAGUACUUCAUAUAUGGUUGUCCUCGCAUUCCCAAGUGAACUUUAGUCUGUGUUUGUCAUUCUGACAGACCUUCACGUACAGGAUGCGGAUUUCGUCUAGUGUAGCUAGUGGGUUCCAACUGGUGUAUCUACGAGGUUAGGGUUCUCAAUGGAUUCUAUCAAGAUGAGUGAGGCACGCAGAGUGUUGUCAGGAGAUCACAUAUCGAGUCUAAGAAUUGGAUCGAUUGGGUGUGAAUCCUGUGGUAUAUCCGAUGGUAGUAGCGGCCUGAAAAGGGUUGGACCAUGUCUCUAUGAGGAUUCUCGGAUGGUCCUAAGCUCUCAGAAGGGUAGAUCCUUUCAGUACUUAGAACAUAGUGCACUUCUAUGGCAAGAUCAUCACUGGCGCGAUCGCCACUCCGAAGUUCCUAUCGUUCUUUCCCGUACUGGUAGUGUAGUCCUUCAGGUUGGUUCUUAGGAAUCUCGAGUGGUCUUUGGUUUUGUGUUUUCUGUCAACUGGCUGAUAGAGACUUUCUAGAUCGUCGAGUGGGUUUCGUGACUAUGGUUAUCGGUUUGCUGUAGAGUGUCUGUCUCAAGCUUGUGAAAAGCGAAUCUGCACUAAAGGCUCUUGAGAUGCGGAAACCCUGAGGGUCGGGGAGAUAGUGUUUCACUAGACGAGUGUUGGACUAUCUCGGGAGGUGGUUCUACUAUCUCUGCGUGAGAUGGUAUUCGUGGAACACCUAAUAGUCCAAUGAAUCUUUAAGACUUUGGUUUAGUCUAACGAGGAAAGUGCAUGUUCCUGCAUAACCCUUCGACUAACACCAAGGCUGGUGUCAAGUCUAUAACCUCUUCGGGAUCUGGGUCAUGAGGCUCAAUGCAACUACUAUCGCCCUUUGAUCAAGGAUUCUUGGAUGCGAAGGUUAUCCUAUGGUUCUUGGUAUCCUAGUGUUCACUUCGGAGAAUGUAUUUUAUCAUCUAUAGGGCGACGACAAUUUCCUCCUUGCAAGAGGGUGGAGGAUGAUAGGCACCACUUGUCUAUAACUGGGUGGACGAGGUGCCUGAGUAGUGCGAGCAUCUAAUGCAACUAUUCUUCCGAAGGUUCUGAGUUUUCUCGGUCUAGGUCAAAUCUAGUGGGUAUAGAGUUUUCAUCACUCGGCACUUUACUAGUUCAACCCGCAGUGGUUCUCUUGAGUCCGGCUCCUAUGUUAUGGAAUAGGGUGAAGGGCUUUUUUAAGAGGUUUGUGAUAGAGCUCAUGCUUAGCCUAACCACCAAUACUUGGUGUAUAAAGGCAGUAUACAAUUGAGGUCGGCAGGAUGUUCAGUUGUGCAACUCCACCCCAAACCCACAACCCAACGAGGAACAGGGAAUAGGGAGGAAACACACACCUUAAAUCUUUUUGAUCUCAAUUAUGUGCCACCUUUAUGCAUAUACCUAGUUAUAGUGGUCAGUCUCAUGAGUUCUGUUCUCUGGGUUCACGAACCGGAUGUGCGAGGUGCAAAGGGUCUUUCUGAGGAUUCUUCUGAGUAUGCUCCGGAUGGUUGCUGUCUUCUGAAGUAUCUACAAUGUCUUUCGCUUCGGUGCCCAUCUGACUACGAAGGGUCGGUCAACAGCGUACGGUACCCUCUCCUGGGUACUUUGGAAGGUUUGAGAUAAAAGGGACGAUUGACGGAUCGCAUUAGGUUUGAUUAUUUGUGUUAGAUUUAGGUUCGGGAGAACCUUUAUUUGCCGACUUGGCUACAGAGAAAGUUAUUUUACAUAGCACUAAGAGUGUACACCUGGUUGCACAAAGUCAAACCAUGAUCAAUAGAGUCGUCGAAGUUGGCACACUCCGACAUGAUAUAAAGUGAAGAUCGAUAGUGUCAUGUGCCGAACAGGCACACAAGUUCUAAGCGUCUCGGGUUUCGUCCUAUAUAUCACUACCGUGGAUACUUGGACCGAUAGAGUCGACGCGGAACUAUAGAGAGUUCUAAGUGUUUCUGAGUGGAGUACCUUUUUCAUGAACGGAUUCUCACGAGGCAUUUCUAUAAUCGCCUCACAUAUACUAUUCAUGUAUAUUUAAGGUGGGGAGGACUGUUGACUGAGCGACCCCGCCCUAAAUCCACAACCAAAUGAGGAACAGGAAAUGAGGCGGCAUUCGCUCACUCUAGGUCUGUCCAUCUUAAAUAUACAUGGUCGUAGCGUAUAUGUUUAGCCAUUAUAGUUUUACCUGAUGAAUUUUUAAAUUUUAUAACAGUGCUGCGACUUUCGCCUUACUGGGAAGAAUUUACAUUUAAAUUAGUCUUUUAAUGUAUUUAGUUUAGUUAUCUGAGAUCGAGAGAGGUACCAAAAAUCUACCUAGUGUCUUGGUGCUUCUUCCUAAGCAAUAGGGUUAGGCUCCUUCUGUGUCUUUGUUGUUUCCUUCAGUUGGGCAAUUUCUUUUGAAGUGUCCAAUCGCACCACAUAGAUGUCAAACUGGAUUUGUCGUCUCAUUGGUGAUUGAUGCAAUACGCUCCACUGGAGUUCUGCAUACACAAGCAGUAUGCCCCUUCAUGUUGCACCUAGCACAUAAGAGUUCCCGGUAGGCACCAUGAUGAUGGUAGCUGCACUUGCAGCUGUGGGGAAGGUCUCCUAGGUAUGGUCUUCUUGAGGUCGGGAGGCAAGGAUUGACAGAAGCAUUGGCCGUCUCAGCUCGUUGCCCUUCGGAAGGUCGUUGAGUCGAGGUACUUCCCUCCUCAAUCUUGAUCUUUCUCUUUAGUGGGUUCGAUUGAGGUUCUUGGGUGACUGGGUAUGAAGGUGUUGGUUGCUGCUGUCCAUUGCCAGGAUUGGAAAUCCCGACAGGCACCUUGCUAACAUUGUCGUUGUUAGCAUUCAGGUGAGCCAUGACAGCUGCUACAGCUGCUGAGACUGCAGCUUGGAACGUAGCUUCAUCGAAUAAGAGUGUAGGUUUCUUGCUUGAGGACUAGUUACGCUUCUUCGGUGGCAUGGUUUUUCCUACACGGAAAGGAAUACAAGAUGAUGAGAGACGAUGGCUAACCCUGGACAUAUCUGUCCUGACUGUAUUAGGCAUAAACUUUCCCGUGCCUCGGGUACUGGUUGUCUGAGUGUCGACCUACAUCCCUAUGAUGUAGUCCUGGUAUUCAAGGUAAAAGUGUGAGUAUCGGAAAAAGGCCAUAAGAUGCGAGUUGUUCCUACUAAGUUACCUUUAUACUGGGAAAGGUUUCACUCUCCGGCCUGGAGAGAUUUGAGAACGGUUCGAAACGAACUGCGGAAAGAGAGGCUCACAAGGGCAAAUGACUAAAUUGUCUCAAUAGAGAUGCGGGGAUCCGCCCUAAUCGUGUAUCUGGCAACGGGAAACGACGAUUUACCUAACACAUAGCGUGACUAGUGUAAUCACUAACUCACUAAAUUGUAUUAUUUUAUGGGUGUAUUAGCAUGACGAAUACGAGGAAAAGACAACUCUCGGGUUCCAUGUACUGGCUCCCUCUGUGUCUGCCUCGUGUCAUUGACUGGAAUCGGCAUUGGUUUCCUUCGGGUAGUUUCCUAGGGUUCUCUUCUCGUAUGGACAUAUUGAAUUUCCCACUCCACCUUCCUUCUGAUUCCAACUCUGGGUGUCACCACUUCAUGAUGGAUGACUGGGAAUCUCCGAAGUUUAGGCGAAUUUCUCACCGUUCAUUUAUUUCCGAACAGGAAAUCUUUUCAGUGAACCUCUUCAGGGUCGAAUUCAACUCUUCUGUUAUGCACCGAAGUGGGUAGGGUUUUCUACAGGGUUCGUGCGAGAAGGGAAAUGUUUAAAGAAUCAUAAGAGAUUAUUAACAUUUCAUUGUAUGAUCCAUAUCGGGUCCUGCUACGAUUACACAGGGUAUACAAAUCAUAUAUAGCUUAGAUCCGAUAGACCUUCGAAUAUGUGAUACUACUCUAGAACCACAUCCCAACGAGGAAAAGGAGAUAGAGCGAAACCACACAUUCUUAGCCUAUGGGAUCCUUAUUAUAUAUAACCUUGGGAGUACACCCUCUGUAGUUGUAGGUAUAUCAAUAAGGAUCUUUUUAGUUAUUCACGCAAGGUUGUUUAUGGAUUCUAAAAUACCCCUAUGGUAUUUUAAUUCUUGUUUGAUUCUUAUCUUCUGAGUUUCAUUCUGGGAUUAGUGUGGAUCUUUUAGUGUUCUAAAAUACUCCUAUAGUAUUUUAACUUUAUGUUUGGCUCUAGCAUUCCUAGUUGGUAAGUUUCAGACCUGUUGUACACCACUAUCACUCCCAAGCACACGUUCAUCGCAUCUCGGAUAAAUGUAGUUGAUCAGGUUACAUUUAUCCCAGCUUACGAUUACAUAACUGCCCAGGUUUGACUGUAGUGCUCAACAUCCGAAGACUUUUAUUAUUGUUCUUCUUGUGAUACUUUUGUUCGAGUGUUUAGGUUCUGGAUGUUAUUAUACUUUGGUAAAAUAUGGGUAUAUUUUAAAGUAUAAUUCUUGGUCAGAGUGUUUUAUCCCUUUGUGUUUAUAGGUUGUAUAUCUUUUAUGAAUUGAUAUACUUAGCUCACUAUAAACAAUGCUCUGAUACCAAUCUGUCACACCCCAAAACCGGAAAGGCGGAAACGUUCUGGGGUGGAUCACGUCAUGUCAAGUAUCACAACACAUACAUUAUAGUAAUCAAAGUACAACAAAACAUUGCAUUAAUAGUAAUAGUUUUAGAUGGUUACAUUACAAUACAUUGAAGUACUACAGUAAAUAUAAGUAAGAACGGCAUGGCACUAAGCUAUCUUCAUCAACUGCUCCGGGGAUGUACCAGUCUAAUGCUAACCUGAGAAUACAAGUUAUUUGAAAAGCGAGUAUCAACAUUUUUACAAAUGCUGGUGAGUUCAUAAGUAUUUAGUGACUUUUAUUCAAAUAACUUUAUAUAGUAGUAGUUUAAGUGUUUACUGUGUAUUAGAGUUCUUUCCAGAAAAUCAUAUAUUUUCUUUAGUAAAGCAGCCUUCUACCAAGACUGGUCAGUGUUAUGUGGUAAAAAGUCAUUUUCCCUAAAUUGCUAUCAUUUUCAAAAUACUGAAUUUG
RNAcentral lists this long non-coding RNA (8470 nucleotides) under Lactuca sativa (garden lettuce). RNAcentral's name for it is "long non-coding RNA (LSAT_LNC004811)". The record is from RNAcentral. Lineage: Eukaryota; Viridiplantae; Streptophyta; Magnoliopsida; Asterales; Asteraceae.